Molecule: ribosomal RNA, 233 nt
Filed under: uncultured bacterium
Lineage: Bacteria
Description: partial 16S ribosomal RNA
Rfam family: Archaeal small subunit ribosomal RNA
Source: RNAcentral
UCCUGGCUGUAAACGCUGCAGACUUGGUGUUGGGAAUCCUACGUGGAUGCCCAGUGCCGUAGAGAAGUUGUUAAGUCUGCCGCUUGGGGAGUACGGUCGCAAGACUGAAACUUAAAGGAAUUGGCGGGAGAGCACCGCAACGGGUGGAGCGUGCGGUUUAAUUGGAUUCAACGCCGGAAAACUCACCGGGGGCGACUGUUACAUGAAGGCCAGGUUGAUGACCUUGCCAGAUU